CAUAGAAAAAAGAGAGUUGCAUGGCUAGAAACAGUAGUCUUAUACUAUAUUCAAUGUAAUAGAGUCAUAAGCAUUACCCUUCUCAUUAGGAGUCUGUAAGUCGUCAUGGCCUUUAUAGAAUGGGCAACACACGUGAUACUAUGAACUAGACAAAUACAUUAGGGCGCCUCGCGCUCCGCGCCCUAUUCUUUUAAAAAAAGAAUAGGGCGCCUCGCGCUCUGCGCGAGUCACCCGGCUCCGUCCGGGGGACUCCGCACAUAAAAACAGUGAAAUCGUUUUUAAGCGAGGUAAAUAAACUAGUUCAAUCAUAAAAUGGAUUGGAUCUUGCAAAUAGAUUCAUGAAAAAGGAAUAGCGAGUAAUCGAGAAUCAUCCACGUCUCGGUGAAGAUAAUAGUAACUUUUCUUUAUAGUUACAACUACAAUUCAAUAUUUAAGAGGUUAAAAAAUAUUUAAACUUCACCGCGGAGUCCCCCGGACGGAGCCGGGUGCCUCGCGCGGAGCGCGAGGCGCCCCGCGGAGUCCCCCGGACGGAGCCGGGUGACUCCGCGAGGCGCCCUAUUCUUUUAAAAAAAGAAUAGGGCGCGGAGCGCGAGGCGCCCUAUAUUGAUAUUGAUAAACAAUUCAAUUGUAGUUUUAAGGUCUAUGGUGCACACAUUGCCCGUCACUUCCUAGAAGCGUUUAUGCGUCGAAGGAGUAGCCAAGUUUGUUAUGCGGCUAUACCGUAUCGUAUAAACGUAACUGGGAAUAAGUCGUAACAGCUUAGAGUUGGGGAACCAGCCCUAGA
This 784-nucleotide ribosomal RNA is filed under the name Dunaliella salina. Its description in RNAcentral is "small subunit ribosomal RNA". The record is from RNAcentral. Lineage: Eukaryota; Viridiplantae; Chlorophyta; Chlorophyceae; Chlamydomonadales; Dunaliellaceae.